AGGUCAGGACAGGAAGGGAAGCCAGAGCAGCUCCAUUUCAUUUCAAAAAAAAGCAAGAAGAGCCGUCAACACGGAAAAUCCCAUUCACAGGAAUGAAGCAUCCGGAGCUUAGAAAGAAGUCGAUGAGGCCAAGUCCUUUCAUGAGACGACUAGUCCUCUCGAUUUUACUAAGUAGCCUGAUUGACCUAAAGCUUCAUUGACUAGGACGGAAUGCAAAAGGAGAACUAGGUCUAAAAGCAUUGAUUAUGAGGUAAACCCUCUCUUUAUCUCUUUCUAUUUUCAGCUGCCUAGAAUGUCUUCUUUCUAUCCUUCUACCUGACCCUAAAGGAAUAGAAUGCUUCUAGGAAUUUGAGAUCAACCAGCUCUUAUAGACGAAAUCUAAUUUCUUAGUUCUCAACUGAGGAACCUGGCACCUAUAUGAUGACAUCAACCAAUCGCACUAACCGCGGGUCUUCUUUAUCAAAGUAUUCGCCUGAACCCAAGAUUACCGAAUAGUCAUUUCCUUUUUUGUCUACUAUUUUUGUAGUUAGGAAGGCGGCUAUGAGAUUACAAACAUCUGGAUUCCCCUCCCCUAUAGUUGAUUGAAUUACUUCGAGUAAAUGUUUGUGAUUUAUGUUAUCAAAGCAACCAACGAUAUCGGAUUUAACUAAGAAAUCAACGGGUCCCAACGUUCCAUUUUUUAAAAGAAAGUAAUUAGUCCUCGCCCUUUCCUAAACCCGUGAGAUUGAUCUGGAAUAUAAGAAGAAGGUCAGAGGGUAGUACAGUGUCUGGGUUAAGAGUGACUGUACAGGCAGUAGCUAGACCACUUGCAUGUAGAACAGAUCUAAUCACAAGGCACAAGGGGAUUAGGGGCGCCAUGACCUAGAAGCUCGUAGGCUAUGGCUCAGUUCAUACUAGAGUAGAGGCUAAGAACUGUCUCGCGAAGGUAGACCAUAGUUAGUGAGGAGAAAUUCUUGGCUAGAUCAUUCGAGUCAAUGCGGUGACUCACCUUCCCGCUUCCAGAAGAAGGUCCGACAUCCUUUUGUCAUCCGAUAGCUAGACCGAAUCAAGAUGGGGUGAACAUAAUCACCAAGUUAAGUUCACGACUUUGUUUAUGACCUCACGGCCACCAUCUUUCCCAGAGCUUGUCCCUCACUUCCACUCGGAAUGUAUGCAGUUCCAAAGUAAGGGCGGCAGGGAAUGCCUCCGCUUCGAGUAGAACUAAGAUAGAUAGAUCUUAUAUAUGAUAAUUGGCAAGAUCACACAUCGUUGACGUGAUAGCUUUCCUCUUGCCUACGCCUCUUGUUUAGCUCCUGAGGUGAAAAAAAAAAGGUGUAGGUGGGCAUAUCCAUGUUUGGGCACUUCACAUGAUGGGUCUUCCUCUUGCAAUCGAGAGAGGCAAAUAGGCGGAAAUCGGUACACUUUUAGUACGGUGGUAUGCGAGCAGCAAGACAGUAUGCAAUCAAUAAAUAGGAGCAAGCUUACUCAUAGUACGGUAAAUAAGCACAAGCAGCAGCAGGAGGGUACACCAUCCAUAUCCAUAAGAGAGGUUUUGAUAAACCGGACAUAAAGAAGUUACACUUUAAUACCCCGCGAACUUUCAUCUUAAACCUCAAUUGCAUAAGAAAGAGAAAGAGAACGUAAGUAAAGGAUACAACAACCAACGCUUCUUUUCUUCUUGCUUUCCCUCUUUCUGCCUUAGAAUGAGUUCGAGUGCUAAGUCUGGCCAGUACCAGUAAGUAAGAGUGACGCUGUGGAAUAGUAGUUCUAUGCUUUCAUUCCUAACUGAGUGAUUGAUUGAAUUGAAGUCUCCUUGUCUUGCUCCUUCACCUAUACCUAUGGCUAUAUCGAGGAAGACUUUGAUGGAGAAUUCCUAUAGGCUUUAAAAUGGAUAUUGAGUUUCCUUGGCAAGUUGCCCACUCCACUAAUUGAGAGUGGCUAAACUCUGAGGAAGAGACCGAAGAAAUGGCAAUGGAGUGAGAACAGUAUGACCCUUUGCUUUAAGGCAAGGUGGAGUAGCAAGAUUUUACCUUCUGAUCCCCUCUUUCUUACAUCAUAGCCUCCCCAGCGAGGGGGAAGUACCCCACGACUGCACUCGCUGGAGCUGUGUGUGUUACUCUACGAUAUAUAGAUAGAUGAAGCCUCCCUCCCGAAUGCUUUCUUUUACGUGAGGUUCUUUCGGAGCAUAGUGAGCGUGAGCGUGCUUUCUGAGGUUCCUAACCUUCCCGUCGUCCGGUGGGUGCCCUCGUGGUAGUACAUAAAAAAGGUAGGGCUGUGCUCAACUAAGUGAGUGAGUGAAGUUCAUACGUUAUUAAGUUGCAAUACACCGUGAGUUAGUCCUCGAAAGUUAUUAGACGACUAUGUUCUGACUCGACGCUACGAGCUUUGCUUAAUUUGAUUUGAUUGAGCUUAAGAGC
RNAcentral lists this long non-coding RNA (2396 nucleotides) under Theobroma cacao (cacao). Its description in RNAcentral is "long non-coding RNA (TCAC_LNC006470)". The record is from RNAcentral. Lineage: Eukaryota; Viridiplantae; Streptophyta; Magnoliopsida; Malvales; Malvaceae.